CCUACGGGUGACAGCAGUGAGGAAUAUUGGUCAAUGGACGAGAGUCUGAACCAGCCAAGUAGCGUGAAGGAUGACUGCCCUAUGGGUUGUAAACUUCUUUUAUAUGGGAAUAAAAUGUUCCACGUGUGGGAUUUUGUAUGUACCAUAUGAAUAAGGCUCGGCUAACUCCUUGCCAGCAGCCUCGGUAAUACGGAGUAUCCGAGCGUGAUACGGAUUUAUUGGGUUUAAAGGGAGCGUAGGUGGAUUGUUAAGUCAGUUGUGAAAGUUUGCGGCUCAACCGUAAAAGUGAAGUUUAAACUUGCAGUUUUGAGUACAGUAGAGGUGGGCGGAAUUCGUGGUGUAGCGGUGAAAUGCUUAGAUAUCACGAAGAACUCCGAUUGCGAAGGCAGCGCACUGGACUGCAACUGACACUGAGGCUCGAAAGUGUGGGUAUCAAACAGGAUUAGAGACCCCUGUAGUC
RNAcentral lists this ribosomal RNA (460 nucleotides) under uncultured bacterium. Its description in RNAcentral is "partial 16S ribosomal RNA". It matches the Rfam family "Bacterial small subunit ribosomal RNA", at positions 338 to 795 of the family's 1533-position model. The record is from RNAcentral.